RNAcentral lists this ribosomal RNA (412 nucleotides) under uncultured bacterium. RNAcentral describes it as "bacterial SSU rRNA". It matches the Rfam family "Bacterial small subunit ribosomal RNA", at positions 330 to 734 of the family's 1533-position model. The record is from RNAcentral.
CCCAGACUCCUACGGGAGGCAGCAGUGGGGAAUAUUGCACAAUGGGCGCAAGCCUGAUGCAGCCAUGCCGCGUGUAUGAAGAAGGCCUUCGGGUUGUAAAGUACUUUCAGCGGGGAGGAAGGUGCUGAGGUUAAUAACCUCAGCAAUUGACGUUACCCGCAGAAGAAGCACCGGCUAACUCCGUGCCAGCAGCCGCGGUAAUACGGAGGGUGCAAGCGUUAAUCGGAAUUACUGGGCGUAAAGCGCACGCAGGCGGUUGAUUGAGUCAGAUGUGAAAUCCCCGGGCUUAACCCGGGAAUUGCAUCUGAUACUGGUCAGCUAGAGUCUUGUAGAGGGGGGUAGAAUUCCAUGUGUAGCGGUGAAAUGCGUAGAGAUGUGGAGGAAUACCGGUGGCGAAGGCGGCCCCCUGGAC